GGUUAAUGAGGCGAACCGGGGGAACUGAAACAUCUAAGUACCCCGAGGAAAAGAAAUCAACCGAGAUUCCCCCAGUAGCGGCGAGCGAACGGGGAGGAGCCCAGAGCCUGAAUCAGCAUGUGUGUUAGUGGAAGCGUCUGGAAAGGCGCGCGAUACAGGGUGACAGCCCCGUACACAAAAGCGCAUGUGCUGUGAGCUCGAUGAGUAGGGCGGGACACGUGGUAUCCUGUCUGAAUAUGGGGGGACCAUCCUCCAAGGCUAAAUACUCCUGACUGACCGAUAGUGAACCAGUACCGUGAGGGAAAGGCGAAAAGAACCCCGGCGAGGGGAGUGAAAAAGAACCUGAAACCGUGUACGUACAAGCAGUGGGAGCACAGGUUUACCUGUGUGACUGCGUACCUUUUGUAUAAUGGGUCAGCGACUUAUAUUCUGUAGCAAGGUUAACCGUAUAGGGGAGCCGCAGGGAAACCGAGUCUUAACCGGGCGUUAAGUUGCAGGGUAUAGACCCGAAACCCGGUGAUCUAGCCAUGGGCAGGUUGAAGGUUGGGUAACACUAACUGGAGGACCGAACCGACUAAUGUUGAAAAAUUAGCGGAUGACCUGUGGCUGGGGGUGAAAGGCCAAUCAAACCGGGAGAUAGCUGGUUCUCCCCGAAAGCUAUUUAGGUAGCGCCUCGUGAAUUCAUCUCCGGGGGUAGAGCACUGUUUCGGCUAGGGGGCCAUCCCGGCUUACCAACCCGAUGCAAACUGCGAAUACCGGAGAAUGUUAUCACGGGAGACACACGGCGGGUGCUAACGUCCGUCGUGAAGAGGGAAACAACCCAGACCGCCAGCUAAGGUCCCAAAGUCAUGGUUAAGUGGGAAACGAUGUGGGAAGGCCCAGACAGCCAGGAUGUUGGCUUAGAAGCAGCCAUCAUUUAAAGAAAGCGUAAUAGCUCACUGGUCGAGUCGGCCUGCGCGGAAGAUGUAACGGGGCUAAACCAUGCACCGAAGCUGCGGCAGCGACACUCAGGUGUUGUUGGGUAGGGGAGCGUUCUGUAAGCCUGUGAAGGUGGCCUGUGAGGGUUGCUGGAGGUAUCAGAAGUGCGAAUGCUGACAUAAGUAACGAUAAAGCGGGUGAAAAGCCCGCUCGCCGGAAGACCAAGGGUUCCUGUCCAACGUUAAUCGGGGCAGGGUGAGUCGACCCCUAAGGCGAGGCCGAAAGGCGUAGUCGAUGGGAAACGGGUUAAUAUUCCCGUACUUGGUGUUACUGCGAAGGGGGG
Molecule: ribosomal RNA, 1261 nt
Filed under: Salmonella enterica subsp. enterica
Lineage: Bacteria; Pseudomonadati; Pseudomonadota; Gammaproteobacteria; Enterobacterales; Enterobacteriaceae
Description: partial 23S ribosomal RNA
Rfam family: Bacterial large subunit ribosomal RNA
Source: RNAcentral